GCAGGGUGUUGAUCGGGCACUCCUCUGUGUAGAGAACCAUCCUGCAGUAAGCACAGAGUGAGGUCGGCAUGCUGCGAGCAGCAGAGGCUGUCAUCACCCCUGGAGCAGCGCGUCCCUGUUGCCCGCAUCCUCUCCAGCAUUUGGCGGCGUCUGUGCUCUGGACUGCAGCCCUUCUAGAAGGUCUCCGGUUUCUACCUCGGGACUCAGAGAACUCUCCGGAACAUGUUCCCGACCCUCGACCCUCAACCCUGGGGGAUUGCUCCAGACGACCCUCUGCUGGACCUGACGCCCGCCGCCCGCCGGCUGUCCUUACAAGCACGGUCAAGAAUACGCCGUCCUUUCACGUGGCCUUUAGCCCUGCUCAGGGAAAGGCUUGGGCACUAAGAACCUGCACUUCGUUCCGACACAGCACACUUCUCUACGAGGAGGGGAGAAGAGGGUUCACAUUACCAUCAGCUGCAGCAAAACUGGAACAGGAUUAAGACGGCGGAACAGAAAGACUGGAGCUCAACUGCUCUCCCCAAAACAACAGAAUUUACAACCAAAUGCUGCCCAAUCUUCAACCAAAUGGACCAGAAGCUUUCAAAAAGACAUCCUACUCCAGAAGACACAGAGGAGACCACAUCAAGAGGUAGGAGGGGCAAUUACGUGAUAUGAGCAACCCCAUACCUCCGUAGUGGGAAGCCCCACAGACUGGAAAGUAACUGGUUCAGAGACUCACCUACAGGAGUGAGAGUUCUGAGCCCCACAUCAAACUCUCACAUGUGGGGAUUCGGCACUGGGAGAAAGAGCCCCUGGAGCACUGGGCAUUGAAGGCCAGUGGGGCUUAUGUGCAGGAGCUCCGUGGGACUGGGGGAAAUAGAGACCCCACUCUUAAAAGGCACACACAGAAUUUCAUGUGCACUGGGUCCCAGGGCAAAGCAAAGUCUCCAUAGGAAUCUGGGUCAAACCUGACUGCAGUUCUUGGAGGACCUCCUGGGAAAAAAGGGGUGAAGGUGGCUUAUUGUGAGGGAGGGACAUUGGAAGCAAAGCUCUCGGGAAUCUUUAGCAGCAUGCCUUUCUCUGGAGGUGGCCUGUUUUUUGGGAAAAUCUGGCCCCACCCAUUGGUGCUGAGAAGCCCUAGGGCAAACAACAGUCCAGGUGGGAUCACAGCCCUGCCCAUCAGUAAACAGACUGCCUAAAGACCCCCCCCCACACACACACCGUCACCUCUAAUCUCACCCAGAGACAAAGCCCCACCCACCAGAGAGAUAGGAAUCAGCCCCAUCUACCAAUGGGUAGGCACCAGUCCCUCCCAUCUGGAAGCCUACAGCAAGCUCCCAUACCAACUUCAGCCACAAGGGGGGCAGACACCAGAAGAAAGAGAUAGUAUAACUCUAUUGUCUGCAAAAAGGAGAACACACCAAAAACCUAUAAAAAUGAAAAGGCCACGAGCUAUAACUCAGGUAAGGGAGAAAGGAAAAAACCCAGAAAAACAGCUAGGUGAUCUGGAGAUUCUCAGCCUCAAGGAAAAAGACUUUAUAGACUGUUGAUGCUGAAGAUGAUGUAAGACACUGGAAAUAAACUGGAGGCAAAGACGGGUAACUUACAGGAAACACUGACCAAAGAGAUACAAGAUACAAAACUUAAGUAAGAAGAGAUGCAAAAUACAACAACUGAAAUAAAAAAUUCAUUAGAAGCAGCCAACAGCAGAAUACAGGAGGCAGAAGAAUGAAUGAGCGAGGAGGAUGGCAGAUUAGUGGAAAUUACAGAUGCAGAACA
Molecule: long non-coding RNA, 1761 nt
Filed under: Sus scrofa (pig)
Lineage: Eukaryota; Metazoa; Chordata; Mammalia; Artiodactyla; Suidae
Description: lncRNA (ENSSSCG00060067436.1)
Source: RNAcentral